Molecule: long non-coding RNA, 305 nt
Organism: Perca fluviatilis (European perch)
Lineage: Eukaryota; Metazoa; Chordata; Actinopteri; Perciformes; Percidae
Exons: 3
Source: RefSeq, a predicted model, not a curated record
CUGGGCCAAAAAUGCCAGGGCCGAUUUUUUGUCCCAGUCCAGCCCUGGUGGCGAUGGUAUCACUCUCUCCUCUAUGAGUCACACUGAGACAGAUCAUGUUUACUUGCAGGUGAAAGUGAAAGUGCCAGUUGUAUAUAAAUUGCUCUUCAUAAUCCCUCAACUCACAUUCUGCCUUUGACUCUCCUCCAGUACAACAGCAGCAAGAUGGGGAGUUUCUGGAAAUGGUUAUUCGGCGGAAGCUCCAGCUCUCCUCCCCCUCCACCCUCUCCUCUUUUCAGUGAACCUUGGAGGACAAUAAGCUGGGC